GUCUUUUAGAUUAUAAUUUAAAGUCUGACCUGCCCUAUGAAAUUUUAAAUGGCCGCAGUAUUUUGACUGUGCAAAGGUAGCAUAAUAAUUAGUUUUUUAAUUGAAAGCUGGAAUGAAAGGUUGAACGAGAAAAUAUCUGUCUCAAUUUAAUUUAAUUAGAAUUUUAUUUUUUAGUAAAAAAGCUAAAAUAAUUUUUAAAGACGAGAAGACCCUAUAGAGUUUUAUAUUUAAAUAAAUUGUUUUUUAGAAUUUAAUUUUUAUUAAAAAUAUUUUAUUGGGGUGAUAAAUAAAUUUGAUAAACUUUAUUAUUUAAGAACAUUAAUAUAUGAUUAUAUGAUCCAUAUAAGUGAUUAAAGAUUAAAUUACCUUAGGGAUAACAGCGUUAUUUUUUUUAAGAGUUCUAAUCGAAAAAAAAGAUUGCGACCUCGAUGUUGGAUUAAAAUUUAUUUAUGGUGUAGAAGCUAUAAAAUUAGGUCUGUUCGACCUUUAAAAUUUUACAUGAUCUGAGUUUAAACCGGUGUGAGCCAGGUUGGUUUCUAUCUUAAAACAAUUAAAAUAUUUUAGUACGAAAGGACCAAAUAUUUAUAAAAUUUAUUUUUUUUUGAAUAC
This 609-nucleotide ribosomal RNA is filed under the name Limnebius gracilipes. Its description in RNAcentral is "partial 16S ribosomal RNA". It matches the Rfam family "Bacterial large subunit ribosomal RNA", at positions 1819 to 2726 of the family's 2925-position model. The record is from RNAcentral. Lineage: Eukaryota; Metazoa; Arthropoda; Insecta; Coleoptera; Hydraenidae.